AGAGUUUGAUCCUGGCUCAGAACGAACGCUGGCGGCGCGUCUUAAGCAUGCAAGUCGGACGGCAAGACAGCGGCUUGCCGCUGUCCUAGAGUGGCGGACUGGUGAGGAGCGCGUGGGUGACGCGCCCUCCGGACGGGGAUAGCCUGUGGAAACACAGGGUAAUACCGGAUAAGAGCGCACUCCUGCGGGAGUGCGGAGAAAGCGGCCUCGGCCGCGCCGGAGGAGCGGCCCGCGUCCCAUUAGCUUGUCGGCGGGGUAACGGCCCACCGAGGCGACGAUGGGUAUCCGGCCUGAGAGGGUGGACGGACACAUUGGGACUGAGAUACGGCCCAGACUCCUGCGGGAGGCAGCAGCUAAGAAUAUUCCGCAAUGGGGGGAACCCUGACGGAGCGACGCCGCGUGGACGAGGAAGGCCGGAAGGUUGUAAAGUCCUUUUGUACGCGGAGAAUAAGCGGGCGAGGUAAUGCGUCCGCGGUGACGGUAGCGUGCGAAUAAGGGGCGGCUAAUUACGUGCCAGCAGCCGCGGUAACACGUAAGCCCCGAGCGUUGUUCGGAAUCAUUGGGCGUAAAGGGCAUGUAGGCGGCCGCGCAAGCCCGGUGUGAAAUCCCGGGGCUCAACUCCGGGAGUGCGCCGGGAACUGCGCGGCUGGAGUAGCCGUGGGGCAGCCGGAAUUCCGGGUGGAGGGGUGAAAUCUGCAGAUAUCCGGAAGAACACCGAUGGCGAAGGCAGGCUGCCAGCGGAUUACUGACGCUGAGGUGCGAAGGCGCGGGGAGCGAACAGGAUUAGAUACCCUGGUAGUCCGCGCAGUAAACGAUGCACACUGGGCGUCCGGGCAGAAGCCCGGGUGCCGAAGCGAACGCGGUAAGUGUGCCGCCUGGGGAGUAUGCCCGCAAGGGUGAAACUCAAAGGAAUUGACGGGGGCCCGCAC
This 929-nucleotide ribosomal RNA is filed under the name gut metagenome. Its description in RNAcentral is "bacterial SSU rRNA". It matches the Rfam family "Bacterial small subunit ribosomal RNA", at positions 8 to 926 of the family's 1533-position model. The record is from RNAcentral.